This 385-nucleotide long non-coding RNA is filed under the name Helianthus annuus (common sunflower). Lineage: Eukaryota; Viridiplantae; Streptophyta; Magnoliopsida; Asterales; Asteraceae. The record is from RNAcentral.
GGUUGCGAUCAUACAAGCACUAAUGCACCGGAUCCCAUCAGAACUCCGCAUUCAAGCGUGCUUGUGCGAGAGUAGUACUAGGAUGGGUGACCCCUUGGGAAGUCCUCGUGUUGCAACCCCCGUUUGUGAAAGGAAGGCUUUGACAAAUGUGCGCGCGCGGACGGCGUCCCCGAGGUGCGUGACGUAGCCCACACAUGAGGGCAUAGGUGCGAAUGGGAUCAAGGCGUAGAAUUUUAUAAAAGAAUAAGGAGAAGGUAUUCUUUCUCGGUUGAGAUCAUAACAGCACUAAUGCACCGGAUCCUAUCAGAACUCCGCAGUCAAGUGUGCUUGGGCGAGAUUUGUACUAGGAUCGGUGACCCCCUGGGAAGUCCUCGUGUUGCAACCC